Molecule: ribosomal RNA, 511 nt
Filed under: Clostridioides difficile
Lineage: Bacteria; Bacillati; Bacillota; Clostridia; Peptostreptococcales; Peptostreptococcaceae
Description: bacterial SSU rRNA
Rfam family: Bacterial small subunit ribosomal RNA
Source: RNAcentral
GGGGACAUUGGUGACAGGUGGUGCAUGGUUGUCGUCAGCUCGUGUCGUGAGAUGUUGGGUUAAGUCCCGCAACGAGCGCAACCCUUGUCUUUAGUUGCCAUCAUUAAGUUGGGCACUCUAGAGAGACUGCCAGGGAUAACCUGGAGGAAGGUGGGGAUGACGUCAAAUCAUCAUGCCCCUUAUGCUUAGGGCUACACACGUGCUACAAUGGGUAGUACAGAGGGUUGCCAAGCCGUAAGGUGGAGCUAAUCCCUUAAAGCUACUCUCAGUUCGGAUUGUAGGCUGAAACUCGCCUACAUGAAGCUGGAGUUACUAGUAAUCGCAGAUCAGAAUGCUGCGGUGAAUGCGUUCCCGGGUCUUGUACACACCGCCCGUCACACCACGGGAGUUGGAGACGCCCGAAGCCGAUUAUCUAACCUUUUGGAAGAAGUCGUCGAAGGUGGAAUCAAUAACUGGGGUGAAGUCGUAACAAGGUAGCCGUAUCGGAAGGUGCGGCUGGAUCACCUCCUUU